AUUGAACGCUGGCGGCAGGCCUAACACAUGCAAGUCGAACGAGUGGCGGACGGGUGAGUAAUACAUCGGAAUCUACUCUGUCGUGGGGGAUAACGUAGGGAAACUUACGCUAAUACCGCAUACGAUUGAAUGAGCCGAUAUCGGAUUAGCUCGUUGGCGGGGUAAAGGCCCACCAAGGCGACGAUCCCUAGCUGGUCUGCGCGGAUGAUCAGCCACACUGGAACGGAGACACGGUCCAGACUCCUACGGGAGGCAGCAGUGGGGAAUAUUGGACAAUGGGCGAAAGCCUGAUCCAGCCAUGCCGCGUGUGUGAAGAAGGUCUUCGGAUUGUAAAGCACUUUAAGUGGGGAGGCGUUACCAGCAGAAUAAGCACCGGCUAACUUCGUGCCAGCCGCCGCGGUAAUUC
RNAcentral lists this ribosomal RNA (406 nucleotides) under uncultured bacterium. RNAcentral's name for it is "partial 16S ribosomal RNA". It matches the Rfam family "Bacterial small subunit ribosomal RNA", at positions 30 to 526 of the family's 1533-position model. The record is from RNAcentral.